This 524-nucleotide ribosomal RNA is filed under the name uncultured bacterium. RNAcentral describes it as "partial 16S ribosomal RNA". It matches the Rfam family "Bacterial small subunit ribosomal RNA", at positions 28 to 523 of the family's 1533-position model. The record is from RNAcentral.
GACGAACGCUGGCGGCGUGCCUAAUACAUGCAAGUCGAGCGCAGGAAGCCGUCUGAACCCUUCGGGGGGACGACGGUGGAAUGAGCGGCGGACGGGUGAGUAACACGUAAAGAACCUGCCCAUAGGUCUGGGAUAACCACGAGAAAUCGGGGCUAAUACCGGAUGUGUCAUCGGACCGAAUGGUCCGCUGAUGAAAGGCGCUCCGGCGUCGCCCAGGGGUGGCUUUGCGGUGCAUUAGCUAGUUGGUGGGGUAACGGCCCACCAAGGCGACGGUGCAUAGCCGACCUGAGGGGGUGAUCGGCCACACUGGGACUGAGACACGGCCCAGGCUCCUACGGGAGGCAGCAGUAGGGAAUCUUCCACAAUGGACGAAAGUCUGAUGGAGCAACGCCGCGUGAACGAUGAAGGCUUUCGGGUCGUAAAGUUCUGCUGUAAGGGAAGAACAAGUGCCGCAGGCAAUGGCGGCACCUUGACGGUACCUUGCGAGAAAGCCACGGCUAACUACGUGCCAGCAGCCGCAGUAA